GUCAGCGACCAUACCACGUAGAAACCACCGAUUCUCGUCCGAUCACCAAAGUUAAACUCCGUCGGGCCGGGUUGGUACUUGCAUCAGUGACCAGCUGGGAAUACUCUUUAUUGCUGACU
Molecule: ribosomal RNA, 119 nt
Filed under: Rodentolepis nana
Lineage: Eukaryota; Metazoa; Platyhelminthes; Cestoda; Cyclophyllidea; Hymenolepididae
Source: RNAcentral